GAUGAACGCUGGCGGCGUGCCUAAUACAUGCAAGUCGAGCGAACAGAUGAGGAGCUUGCUCCUCUGACGUUAGCGGCGGACGGGUGAGUAACCCGUGGAUAACCUACCUAUAAGACUGGGAUAACUUCGGGAAACCGGAGCUAAUACCGGAUAAUAUAUUAAACCGCAUGGUUCAAUAGUGAAAGACGGUUUUGCUGUCACUUAUAGAUGGAUCCGCGCCGCAUUAGCUAGUUGGUAAGGUAACGGCUUACCAAGGCAACGAUGCGUAGCCGACCUGAGAGGGUGAUCGGCCACACUGGAACUGAGACACGGUCCAGACUCCUACGGGAGGCAGCAGUAGGGAAUCUUCCGCAAUGGGCGAAAGCCUGACGGAGCAACGCCGCGUGAGUGAUGAAGGUCUUCGGAUCGUAAAACUCUGUUAUUAGGGAAGAACAAAUGUGUAAGUAACUAUGCACGUCUUGACGGUACCUAAUCAGAAAGCCACGGCUAACUACGUG
RNAcentral lists this ribosomal RNA (497 nucleotides) under uncultured bacterium. RNAcentral describes it as "partial 16S ribosomal RNA". It matches the Rfam family "Bacterial small subunit ribosomal RNA", at positions 28 to 507 of the family's 1533-position model. The record is from RNAcentral.